RNAcentral lists this ribosomal RNA (405 nucleotides) under uncultured bacterium. RNAcentral describes it as "partial 16S ribosomal RNA". It matches the Rfam family "Bacterial small subunit ribosomal RNA", at positions 30 to 526 of the family's 1533-position model. The record is from RNAcentral.
AUUGAACGCUGGCGGCAGGCCUAACACAUGCAAGUCGAACGAGUGGCGGACGGGUGAGUAAUGUCUGGGAAACUGCCUGAUGGAGGGGGAUAACUACUGGAAACGGUAGCUAAUCCCGCAUACCAUCGGAUGUGCCCAGAUGGGAUGAGCUAGUAGGUGGGGAAACGGCUCCCCUAGGCGACGCUCCCUAGCUGGUCUGAGAGGAUGACCAGCCACCCUGGAACUGAACCCCGGUCCAGCCUCCUACGGAGGCAGCAGUGGGGAAUAUUGCACAAUGGGCGCAAGCCUGAUGCAGCCAUGCCGCGUGUAUGAAGAAGGCCUUCGGGUUGUAAAGUACUUUCAGCGGGGAGGCGUUACCCGCAGAAGAAGCACCGGCUAACUCCGUGCCAGCCGCCGCGGUAAUAC